CGACUAAGCGUUCACGGUGGAUGCCCUGGCAGUCAGAGGCGAUGAAGGACGUGCUAAUCUGCGAAAAGCGUCGGUAAGGUGAUAUGAACCGUUACAGCCGGCGAUGUCCGAAUGGGGAAACCCAGUGUGAUUCGUCACACUAUCGUUAACUGAAUACAUAGGUUAACGAGGCGAACCGGGGGAACUGAAACAUCUAAGUACCCCGAGGAAAAGAAAUCAACCGA
This 224-nucleotide ribosomal RNA is filed under the name Klebsiella pneumoniae. RNAcentral's name for it is "partial 23S ribosomal RNA". It matches the Rfam family "Bacterial large subunit ribosomal RNA", at positions 1 to 232 of the family's 2925-position model. Lineage: Bacteria; Pseudomonadati; Pseudomonadota; Gammaproteobacteria; Enterobacterales; Enterobacteriaceae. The record is from RNAcentral.